Micropterus dolomieu (smallmouth bass) is the source of this 1255-nucleotide long non-coding RNA. RefSeq lists it as uncharacterized. NCBI's taxonomy places the organism in Eukaryota, Metazoa, Chordata, Actinopteri, Centrarchiformes, Centrarchidae. The record is from RefSeq and is a predicted model, not a curated record. The transcript is spliced from 3 exons.
GUGUAGCGCUUCUGCUGGUCACCAAACAUCCCCCUGGCUCAUUUGUGUACAUUUAAAGACAAACUUCUGAAUCAGCUGUCUGAUUUGGUCUCUUAGUGCUGCACACAUGCAGGCCACCUUCCCUGCAUGAACACCUGUGUCGUUCAAACACAACAAACAAAACAACAGGAGCAUCUUUUGUCUGUGGACAGACCCAGCAGCAGAGGAGACACGAGACAAAAGAGGGAACAGGUCUCUCUUUGCUUUCCCCUGCGGGACUGAAGAGGCAGGAGCUGCCAGAUCAGCGCCACAUCAACCUGAGCUGUAAACACCGACAGCAGCAUUAACAUUAAACCCCCAGCUGAGGUCUUUAACUGUCAGACAAAGUGCCUGCAGGAUGGUGAAUUGGAGUGUGGGAGAACAUUUAUGUGGAAAGAUAAAAACCAGACAGACAGGUUCCACAGCAGGCGGACUGAGAUUCGGGUUCUCUGAAAACAAGCUGGGGUGAAAUUAAACCCUGUAUUUGACCCCACCGAAACCCUCAGCUGAGUGAGAUGCGAUGGUUUCAGCUCAGACAUGAAUGAGACACUGAUUCUGACUAAUCAGGAGGACAGCAGCUGAAAUCCACGGAUCCUCCUGAAGCGCAGACAAAGACGCGCGCCUCUCUGACUGAUUUACAGAUUUCCACUUAUCCCUAACAAGUCCACAUUAAGCUCCAUGACAACACAAAGCGAGAGUCGCGGAAGUGUCCCCUAAAAACCCAACAGAAAGGAGCCGCAGUGCGUUUUCUCCGCGCUGGAUGAGGCGCGGCGGUGCGUCCUCGCCGCUUCGCUCCAACACGUUUUAGUUUUUACCUUUAAUGUAGUCGGAUUUGGUCUCAUCCAGAAGACCGGACGCGGAGUUCCCCAUGGUGCUGCUGCCUGGAGAGGAUCAACAGAGCCAUUGAGAAGCGGCGACAUCACCGAGGCAACUGAGCAAAAACCAAUGAAAAUCAAUCUCCAGCUGGUCCAUCUGUCCAAUCUGCUGCUCCUAAUGAAGUGUCCUCUCAGAUGAUCUGGGAUCAGGUCCAAACACCACAGGGUGAAGCAGCUUUCAGUUUUUAUGCUCUAUAUAUCUAAAGCUAACUUCAAGUCUUCUCCAACUCUCAGUUCUUUUAAAUCAGAGCUCAAUACUUCACAUUGAAGCACAUUGAAGAGCCUUGUUGUUGAAAAUGUGCUGCACAGAUAAACUUGCCUUUCUGUUCUAAUUGAUGACUUAAAUUGCAAUAAAAUUUCUU